Molecule: long non-coding RNA, 430 nt
Organism: Pocillopora verrucosa
Lineage: Eukaryota; Metazoa; Cnidaria; Anthozoa; Scleractinia; Pocilloporidae
Source: RefSeq, a predicted model, not a curated record
GAAACACGUGGUAGGACGCUAACAGUUUUCUUUGUAACAGUUUUCCCUCCGUAAAGGUGAUGUACGGAUACCUUUGUUGAUUAAGACUUAAAGCAUGGGGUAAAGGAAACAGGUCUAUGUUGCUGCCAUCAGGGACUUGAAAAUGUAGUAUGCAGUAUGUUUUUGAGGCCAGGAUAUUUCGCAGAUUCUUGUAGUGAACAGCUGGGCAGCUGAAACUUACCACUAAGAAAAGGUUCUGAAGACUAUUCUUGAUGUCAGGAGAUGCAAGUGCUAAAACCCUUAAAUGAAAUACUUUCAGUGCAUGCCUAACUGCAGUCAUUUUUAUCAGUUCUGUUGCAAUGUCAUUGACAAAAGCCUUUCUCAUGACCCUCUACAUUCAGACAACCACACUGUAUCAUUGAAUGGUACUUCCAUUGACAAAUAAAGUUUU